GAAAGGAUAAGUUAAGUAUAAACUAUUUGAUUCAUAUUCAAAAUUUGCUUUUUAAGCUUCUUUUA
Molecule: transfer RNA, 65 nt
Filed under: Aglaiogyrodactylus forficulatus
Lineage: Eukaryota; Metazoa; Platyhelminthes; Monogenea; Gyrodactylidea; Oogyrodactylidae
Description: tRNA-Met
Source: RNAcentral